RNAcentral lists this ribosomal RNA (506 nucleotides) under uncultured bacterium. RNAcentral describes it as "partial 16S ribosomal RNA". It matches the Rfam family "Bacterial small subunit ribosomal RNA", at positions 28 to 523 of the family's 1533-position model. The record is from RNAcentral.
GAUGAACGCUAGCUACAGGCUUAACACAUGCAAGUCGAGGGGUAACGAGAGGAAAGCUUGCUUUCCUUGUCGACGACCGGCGCACGGGUGAGUAACGCGUAUCCAACCUGCCCCCAACUAGGGAAUAACCUUGCGAAAGUAAGACUAAUACCCUAUAAUUUCCUCAGAUGUCAUCUGACGAGGAAUAAAGGUUUAUCGGUUGUGGAUGGGGAUGCGUCUGAUUAGCUUGUUGGCGGGGUAACGGCCCACCAAGGCAACGAUCAGUAGGGGUUCUGAGAGGAAGGUCCACCAAGUUGGAACUGAGACACGGUCGAAACUCCUACGGGAGGCAGCAGUGAGGAAUAUUGGUCAAUGGGCGGAAGCCUGAACCAGCCAAGUAGCGUGCAGGAUGACGGCCCUAUGGGUUGUAAACUGCUUUUAUACAGGAAUAAAGUUAGCCACGUGUGGUUAUUUGUAGGUACUGUAUGAAUAAGGACCGGCUAAUUCCGUGCCAGCCGCCACGGUAA